This is a long non-coding RNA of Oncorhynchus keta (chum salmon), 1434 nucleotides long. RefSeq lists it as uncharacterized. Lineage: Eukaryota; Metazoa; Chordata; Actinopteri; Salmoniformes; Salmonidae. The transcript is spliced from 4 exons. The record is from RefSeq and is a predicted model, not a curated record.
GUCCACCUGGUUUAAAUCUCUGUCUGUUUGUCUCCUCUCCUCUCUGCAGGUCAUCAGAGCAGUGCUGCUGUCUCCUGUCCAUAUCAGACAGAUUGAUGUCCACCUGGUUUGAAUCUAUGUCAGACACAUUGUCCAGGUGUAUUCUAUAUCCUGUCAGUGAUGUUGUCCAGGUGUAUUCUAUAUCCUGUCAGUGAUGUUGUCCAGGUGUAUUCUAUAUCCUGUCAGUGAUGUUGUCCAGGUGUAUUCUAUAUCCUGUCAGUGAUGUUGUCCAGGUGUAUUCUAUAUCCUGUCAGUGAUGUUGUCCAGGUGUAUUCUAUAUCCUGUCAGUGAUGUUGUCCAGGUGUAUUCUAUAUCCUGUCAGUGAUGUUGUCCAGGUGUAUUCUAUAUCCUGUCAGUGAUGUUGUCCAGGUGUAUUCUAUAUCCUGUCAGUGAUGUUGUCCAGGUGUAUUCUAUAUCCUGUCAGUGAUGUUGUCCAGGUGUAUUCUAUAUCCUGUCAGUGAUGUUGUCCAGGUGUAUUCUAUAUCCUGUCAGUGAUGUUGUCCAGGUGUAUUCUAUAUCCCGUCAGUGAUGUUGUCCAGGUGUAUUCUAUAUCCCGUCAGUGAUGUUGUCCAGGUGUAUUCUAUAUCCUGUCAGUGAUGUUGUCCAGGUGGUGUAUUCUAUAUCCUGUCAGUGAUGUUGUCCAGGUGUAUUCUAUAUCCUGUCAGUGAUGUUGUCCAGGUGUAUUCUAUAUCCCGUUAGUGAUGUUGUCCAGGUGUAUUCUAUAUCCCGUUAGUGAUGUUGUCCAGGUGUAUUCUAUAUCCUGUCAGUGAUGUUGUCCAGGUGUAUUCUAUAUCCCGUUAGUGAUGUUGUCCAGGUGUAUUCUAUAUCCCGUUAGUGAUGUUGUCCAGGUGUAUUCUAUAUCCUGUCAGUGAUGUUGUCCAGGUGUAUUCUAUAUCCCGUUAGUGAUGUUGUCCAGGUGUAUUCUAUAUCCUGUCAGUGAUGUUGUCCAGGUGUAUUCUAUAUCCCGUCAGUGAUGUUGUCCAGGUGUAUUCUAUAUCCUGUCAGUGAUGUUGUCCAGGUGUAUUCUAUAUCCUGUCAGUGAUGUUGUCCAGGUGUAUUCUAUAUCCCGUCAGUGAUGUUGUCCCUAAUGGAAAGGCAUGUCAGAGCCCUGUCCUCCAGUGAGUCAGGUUUCCUCAUCGUAUCCAUGGUGUAUUUCAUCCGUUCCUCGUCUCCGAGGUUAAAAGACAGCGAUGGUUGUUUCUCUCCGUGGCUUGUUGAGGAGGUCUCCAGGGGUGGUGGGAUGAUGGGAAACCGCCGGGGUGUUGUAGGAAUCUGUCAUACAGCAGAAGGAACUGCUCAUCUUCCACCAACCUGAAAAUCAGAAGAAAACAACAUUCUAGUUCCAGGAGACAGUGACGUCCCGUUUGUGUUUUUCACCUAGAUGCCUCAGUACCU